GGCAAUGUAGCUCAGCUGGAUAGAGCACCCCUUUGCCGAAGGGGGUUGUCGGGGGUUCGAAUCCCCCCAUUGUUU
This 75-nucleotide transfer RNA is filed under the name Desulfovibrio sp. Its description in RNAcentral is "tRNA-Gly". It matches the Rfam family "tRNA". From Rfam's summary of the family: Transfer RNA (tRNA) molecules are approximately 80 nucleotides in length. Lineage: Bacteria; Pseudomonadati; Thermodesulfobacteriota; Desulfovibrionia; Desulfovibrionales; Desulfovibrionaceae. The record is from RNAcentral.